Molecule: ribosomal RNA, 253 nt
Filed under: uncultured bacterium
Lineage: Bacteria
Description: partial 16S ribosomal RNA
Rfam family: Bacterial small subunit ribosomal RNA
Source: RNAcentral
UACGGGGGGGGCAAGCGUUGUUCGGAAUUACUGGGCGUAAAGGGCUCGUAGGCGGCCAACUAAGUCAGACGUGAAAUCCCUCGGCUUAACCGGGGAACUGCGUCUGAUACUGGAUGGCUAGAGGUUGGGAGAGGGAUGCGGAAUUCCAGGUGUAGCGGUGAAAUGCGUAGAUAUCUGGAGGAACACCGGUGGCGAAGGCGGGUCUCUGGGCCGAUACUGACGCUGAGGAGCGAAAGCAUGGGUAGCGAACAGG